This is a long non-coding RNA of Scophthalmus maximus (turbot), 636 nucleotides long. RefSeq lists it as uncharacterized. The record is from RefSeq and is a predicted model, not a curated record. The transcript has 2 exons. NCBI's taxonomy places the organism in Eukaryota, Metazoa, Chordata, Actinopteri, Pleuronectiformes, Scophthalmidae.
GAGAGCUGAACCGCUGCACAGCAUCACACAGGUGCAUUCAUCUAGCCUUGGCCCCAGUUUCUCCUCAAUCAUUAUAUGCCAAGAAAAAAUGCCAUCUACACUAGAAGCCUGAUACCUGCAGAGGCUUGCUCUACUUUCAUGUUUGCAUAUUUCUUCCCCCCAAACACUCUGGCCGCUCACCUGAGGAGCAGCGAUGGUAAGCGCAGUGUUGGCCAGUUCUUUGUCCUGCGACUUUUCACGUGCCAGGCGAGCUGCAUCUUUCACCUCCUUAAACUUAUCGGAGAACUUUUCCAAAAAAGGGACACAGUGAACCACAGGAGAUGUACAACAUUGCGGUUGGCAUCGUAGAAGAAGGACACGGUGACGGCGUGCUUGCUGGCAGGGAUCCAGUUCCUCUUGGUGGCGGGGUCGAUUUGGAAAACAUGGGCCCGAGCGCUGAAGAUCGGCUGCUCCCUGGCGGAGGAAACACAGGGGGAAGGAUGAGAUAUGGCAAUAAUUAUUUUUGGGAGGGGGGAGACUUAGCGAAAAGUCAAUGUUCAAAUCCCUUGACAGACUUCAGGUCUAUAAACUAUGAUUUAGAGGUAACUGAACCUUUAAAACUGCCAUUUUAAUAAAACCCAAUAUUGUACAAACCCA